CAUCAACUACCACAAGGAUAGGUGUCUGCCAUCAGAUCCCUCACUACAGACUGCAUGCUGACGGACUUCACUGGGCCUGCUACCUGAGACUUGCUUCUUCCUCCUGGACUUACUCUGCGGCUUCUUCCUGGACCCACCCGGUACCUGCACCCUCUCGUUGCCCAAGACCGGCCUCGCUGCUCCCGCCCUUUGGCCUCGGACCAUCGGAACAGCAUGUAACAGACCGCUGCUGGAUCUUGCUGAAAGAGACUUACCGGUUGGCUUCACUUUUCAAUAAGCCCAGGUUACUAGCACCACCACCGCAGCAGCAAGGCAGCCACAUGGCAAUAUGUUCACCUGGACAGCAGCUGUAAUCAUUUCACAAAUCUCACAGCUCAGCCAGUGUAAGGAGGGGCAACUGAUAGAGUGUCAAUGGUUGGUUCUCUAGUUGAACUGCUGGGCUUGUUGCAAGGAUUGGAGUGACCACAGAACUGGCUGUGAGAGUCAUGGCACCUACAAAGCCCAUCAGAAGUGUUAAUGGAGGAGCUGAAGCAAACAUAAGGCUUGUUGCAGGAACUGGAGCAACCACAGGGAUGUACCUCUCACAGGAAAUGUUUCUUCUUUGUCUCAUGGCAAUACUUGGAACUGCCACAAGACCCACAGCAGGAGGAACCAUAGGACUGAUUACAAGUGCUGGAGUGACAGCAGAGUCUGUCACAAUUUUCAGAGCAAUGCAGGACCUGUUGCAGGAAUUUGAGAUGCUGCAGGGUCUAUAACAGGAGCUGAGGGGUCUUCAGCAUUGUCAUCACAUCCAGAAGUAUUCUCCUUCUUGAGAGUGCUAAAUAGUAUUGAACAGUGCUUGGAGAAAGAAUAAUGUGAGAGAGAUUUAACAACACACAAAGACAAUUGCUUAUAACUUGACCAUUAAAAGAAAAAUGGAUGAAGAGGAUGCACUGUGAAAUAACAAGAGAUGGUUCCUGCAUUUCACUGGAAAAAUGUUAGGAAAGCAGUUCUUAAGAAACCCUCAGUAUCCUGGUGCAAGAGUAGCUUGUGAUACAUCCUUGAUGUAGUUUAUUAGAGACACAGAGUAUAAGGAAAUAUUCCAGCAUGCAGAAGACUUCUGGGCUUCAUCAGUAUGAAAAGGAGGGCAAAUAGUUCAACAGAGCUGAAACUCUAUGAGGUGCCACAGUUGAGGUUUCACCUUGUACCUUACCUAAGAGAAAGCACCUGUACAUAAACAGAAGGUAUAAAUUCAUUGCAGGCUCCCUUUUCUUUACAGAUCCUGCCUCACUGCAGCUCUACACAACAUGGCUGCAGAUAUCCACAGCACAUAUCAGUGUAACACUGCCAUUCCCCUUCUCCCCUUCCUGCAGUUUUGUCUCACGUACUCAAAGAAAC
This is a long non-coding RNA of Gallus gallus (chicken), 1377 nucleotides long. The record is from Ensembl. NCBI's taxonomy places the organism in Eukaryota, Metazoa, Chordata, Aves, Galliformes, Phasianidae.